AACUAUAUGGUAUUAUAUAUAGCUUUUUCUGCACAAUGUGAAAAUAUGAAUUGCCGCAGUACUUUGACUGUGCUAAGGUAGCAUAAUCAUUUGGCUUAUAAUUGAAGUCUAGUAUGAAUGAAAUCAUGGGGGUCUACUGUUUCAAAGACGCAUUUUGAAUUUUUCUGGUUGGUGAAAAUGCCAAUAAAUACUUAAUAGACGAGAAGACCCUUGAAAUUUUUAAUAAAUCUUUUUUUGGAUAUGUUUUAGUUGGGGCGACAAAGUAGCAAAAAACCUACUUGAACUAAAUAAGCAUUAAAUAGGAUGGACAAAUAAAUUACUCUAGGGAUAACAGCAUAAUAUUAUAAAGUUUGUGACCUCGAUGUUGGACUAGGAUAAUAUAGCUUAGAAGGCUCCUAUUAUUGCUCUGUUCG
This 413-nucleotide ribosomal RNA is filed under the name Bradybaena circulus hiroshihorii. Its description in RNAcentral is "partial 16S rRNA". It matches the Rfam family "Bacterial large subunit ribosomal RNA", at positions 1829 to 2583 of the family's 2925-position model. Lineage: Eukaryota; Metazoa; Mollusca; Gastropoda; Stylommatophora; Camaenidae. The record is from RNAcentral.